AUCAACUUUCGAUGGUAGGAUAGAGGCCUACCAUGGUGGUAACGGGUAACGGGGUGUUAGGGCACGACACCGGAGAGGGAGCCUGAGAAACGGCUACCACAUCCAAGGAUGGCAGCAGGCGCGCAAAUUACCCAAUCCCGACACGGGGAGGUAGUGACAAUAAAUAACAAUACGGGGUUCUUUCGGAUCUCGUAAUUGGAAUGAGUACAAUUUAAAUCUCUUAACGAGGAACAAUUGGAGGGCAAGUCUGGUGCCAGCAGCCGCGGUAAUUCCAGCUCCAAUAGCGUAUAUUAAAGUUGUUGCAGUUAAAAAGCUCGUAGUUGAAUUUCGGGGUUAGUAGGCUGGUCAUGCCUCUGGUAUGUACUGGUCUCACUGAUUCCUCCUUCCUGAUGAACCGUAAUGCCAUUAAUUUGGUGUUGCGGGGAAUUUGGACUGUUACUUUGAAAAAAUUAGAGUGUUUAAAGCAAGCUAACGCUUGAAUACAUUAGCAUGGAAUAAUGAAAUAGGACGUUCGAUCCUAUUUUGUUGGUUUCUAGGAUUGACGUAAUGAUUAAUAGGGAUAGUUGGGGGCAUUAGUAUUCAAUUGUCAGAGGUGAAAUUCUUGGAUUUAUUGAAGACUAACUACUGCGAAAGCAUUUGCCAAGGAUGUUUUCAUUAAUCAAGAACGAAAGUUAGGGGAUCGAAGACGAUCAGAUACCGUCGUAGUCUUAACCAUAAACUAUGCCGACUAGGGAUCGGAUGAUGUUAAUUUUUUAAUGACUCAUUCGGCGCCUUACGGGAAACCAAAGUGUUUGGGUUC
RNAcentral lists this ribosomal RNA (799 nucleotides) under uncultured Rhizophagus. Its description in RNAcentral is "SSU rRNA". It matches the Rfam family "Eukaryotic small subunit ribosomal RNA", at positions 314 to 1114 of the family's 1831-position model. Lineage: Eukaryota; Fungi; Glomeromycota; Glomeromycetes; Glomerales; Glomeraceae. The record is from RNAcentral.